This 422-nucleotide ribosomal RNA is filed under the name uncultured bacterium. RNAcentral describes it as "bacterial SSU rRNA". It matches the Rfam family "Bacterial small subunit ribosomal RNA", at positions 362 to 775 of the family's 1533-position model. The record is from RNAcentral.
ACUUCCGCAAUGGACGAAAGUCUGACGGAGCACCGCCGCGUGAGUGAUGAAGGUUUUCGGAUCGUGAAGCUCUGUUGUUAGGGAAGAACAAGUGCCGUUCAAAUAGGGCUGCAGCUUGACGGUACCUAACCAGAAAGUCACGGCUAACUACGUGCCAGCAGCCGCGGUAAUACGUAGGUGGCAAGCGUUGUCCGGAAUUAUUGGGCGUAAAGGGCACGCAGGCGGUUUCUUAAGUCUGAUGUGAAAGCCCCCGGCUCAACCGGGGAGGGUCAUUGGAAACUGGGGAACUUGAGUGCAGAAGAGGAGAGUGGAAUUCCACGUGUAGCGGUGAAAUGCGUAGGGAUGUGGAGGAACACCAGUGGCGAAGGCGACUCUCUGGUCUGUAACUGACGCUGAGGAGCGAAAGCGUGGGGAGCGAACAG